Molecule: ribosomal RNA, 274 nt
Filed under: uncultured bacterium
Lineage: Bacteria
Description: partial 16S ribosomal RNA
Rfam family: Bacterial small subunit ribosomal RNA
Source: RNAcentral
AUACGGAGGGUGCAAGCGUUAUCCGGAUUUAUUGGGUUUAAAGGGUGCGCAGGCGGAUAAUUAAGUCAGUGGUGAAAUCCUCCCGCUCAACGGGAGAACUGCCAUUGAUACUGAUAAUCUGGCAUACGUUUGAAGUGGGCGGAAUGUAGCAUGUAGCGGUGAAAUGCAUAGAAAUGCUACAGAACACCGAUCGCGAAGGCAGCUUACUAAGCCGAUAUUGACGCACAGGCACGAAAGCGUGGGGAGCGAACAGAAUUAGAAACCCGGGUAGUCC